GACGAACGCUGGCGGCGUGCCUAAUACAUGCAAGUCGAACGAGAGCGACCGGUGCUUGCACUGGUCAAUCUAGUGGCGAACGGGUGAGUAACACGUGGGUAACCUGCCCAUCAGAGGGGGAUAACAUCCGGAAACGGAUGCUAAAACCGCAUAGGUCUUCGAGCCGCAUGGCUUGAAGAGGAAAAGAGGCGCAAGCUUCUGCUGAUGGAUGGACCCGCGGUGCAUUAGCUAGUUGGUGAGGUAACGGCUCACCAAGGCCGUGAUGCAUAGCCGACCCGAGAGGGUGAUCGGCCACAUUGGGACUGAGACACGGCCCAAACUCCUACGGGAGGCAGCAGUAGGGAAUCUUCCGCAAUGGACGCAAGUCUGACGGAGCAACGCCGCGUGAGUGAAGAAGGUUUUCGGAUCGUAAAACUCUGUUGUUAGAGAAGAACAAGUGCUAGAGUAACUGUUAGCGCCUUGACGGUAUCUAACCAGAAAGCCACGGCUAACUACGUG
This 498-nucleotide ribosomal RNA is filed under the name uncultured bacterium. RNAcentral's name for it is "partial 16S ribosomal RNA". It matches the Rfam family "Bacterial small subunit ribosomal RNA", at positions 28 to 507 of the family's 1533-position model. The record is from RNAcentral.